This is a long non-coding RNA of Schistocerca gregaria, 475 nucleotides long. RefSeq lists it as uncharacterized. The record is from RefSeq and is a predicted model, not a curated record. NCBI's taxonomy places the organism in Eukaryota, Metazoa, Arthropoda, Insecta, Orthoptera, Acrididae. The transcript has 2 exons.
AUCGUUAUUUUUUGCUUUGUUUAUCAAAGCCCACAGUACAUUCAGUCGAGAUGACAAAAGGUACAUCUAGCUUCGGAAAACGUGGUCGCACCAAGUCCCAUGGACUUUGCGGGCGUUGUGGACGCCGCGCCUUCCAUCAUCAAAAAGCCAGAUGCGCCAGCUGCGGGUUCGGAAAAACAGCUAAACUUCGCCACUACAACUGGGCUUUGAAAUCCAGGCGCCGUCACACAACAGGAACAGGCCGAACACCUCAUCUUAGAUACAUCAUUUCUAGGGCUAAAGUUUUCAAGAGAGUUAACGAAAAAUAUGCUCAAAGCGUUCGAGCUGCAAGGAUCCGCGCCCUCAAGAAGCCCAUCUGGUAGUUUGUUCUGUUUCGAUUUGGAUGUACAUUCAAACUAUUACGGAUUCAUCGGCAAUAAGAAAAAAUCAAUUACAAGUCAAAUAAAUUACGUUUUCCUCCUGAUCACCCUCUUGA